GUUAAGCCACUUCUGAUAAGUAUCUCGGACCGUCCCUCUAACGUUCAGGGCUGGCUCCUCAAGUGCCGGAUCUGUUACUACAUAAAGGAUCCGCUCAUGCUCAAGGAUGAUUUUUAAUUUUCGAUACCAGCUAUCGAAAUUAGGUCCCAUGAGCUUGUCAUUAUCUAAUAAUGACCGGAGGGAUAGGGUAGUGGCCAUAGCUGC
Molecule: long non-coding RNA, 204 nt
Filed under: Elaeis guineensis (African oil palm)
Lineage: Eukaryota; Viridiplantae; Streptophyta; Magnoliopsida; Arecales; Arecaceae
Description: long non-coding RNA (EGUI_LNC082795)
Source: RNAcentral